This 245-nucleotide unclassified non-coding RNA is filed under the name fungal sp. RNAcentral describes it as "partial internal transcribed spacer region". The stretch from base 1 to 46 matches the Rfam family "Eukaryotic small subunit ribosomal RNA", at positions 1786 to 1831 of the family's 1831-position model. RNAcentral also lists the same sequence under 1 other name. Lineage: Eukaryota; Fungi. The record is from RNAcentral.
AAGUCGUAACAAGGUCUCCGUUGGUGAACCAGCGGAGGGAUCAUUACAGAGUGUAAAAACUCCCAUUAAACCCAUUGUUUAUCUAUCUUAUAACGGUUUCCUUUGGUAGGCAAUCCCAGGGCGGGAUUGAUUUUGCUGUUUUUUUACAGCGCCUACCAAAAGAUACCUAAAAACUCUUGAAUUUUUAAAACUCUGAGAAUAAAAACAAAUAAUUAAAACUUUCAACAACGGAUCUCUUGGUUCUG